Non-coding RNA from Schistosoma mansoni, 46 nucleotides. Lineage: Eukaryota; Metazoa; Platyhelminthes; Trematoda; Strigeidida; Schistosomatidae. The record is from Rfam.
AUCAACUCUGACGAGUCCAAAAUAGGAUGAAACGCGCGUCCUUGAU